GAAACCAACCGGGAUUGCCUUAGUAACGGCGAGUGAAGCGGCAAAAGCUCAAAUUUGAAAUCUAGUACCUUCGGUGCUCGAGUUGUAAUUUGUAGAGGGAUACUUUGGGACCGUUCCUUGUCUAUGUUCCUUGGAACAGGACGUCAUAGAGGGUGAGAAUCCCGUGUGGCGAGGAGUGCGGUUCUAUGUAAAGUGCCUUCGAAGAGUCGAGUUGUUUGGGAAUGCAGCUCUAAGUGGGUGGUAAAUUCCAUCUAAAGCUAAAUAUUGGCGAGAGACCGAUAGCGAACAAGUACAGUGAUGGAAAGAUGAAAAGAACUUUGAAAAGAGAGUGAAAAAGUACGUGAAAUUGUUGAAAGGGAAGGGCAUUUGAUCAGACAUGGUGUUUUGCGCCCUCUGCUCCUUGUGGGUGGGGGAAUCUCGCAGCUCACUGGGCCAACAUCAGUUUUGGUGGUCGGAUAAAUCCGUAGGAAUGUGGCUUACCUCGGUAAGUGUUAUAGCCUGCGGGAAUACGGCCAGCCGGGACUGAGGACUGCGACUUUU
Molecule: ribosomal RNA, 540 nt
Filed under: Kazachstania sp.
Lineage: Eukaryota; Fungi; Ascomycota; Saccharomycetes; Saccharomycetales; Saccharomycetaceae
Description: LSU rRNA
Rfam family: Eukaryotic large subunit ribosomal RNA
Source: RNAcentral